RNAcentral lists this ribosomal RNA (1845 nucleotides) under Lecanographa atlantica. RNAcentral describes it as "partial large subunit ribosomal RNA". The record is from RNAcentral. Lineage: Eukaryota; Fungi; Ascomycota; Arthoniomycetes; Arthoniales; Lecanographaceae.
GGAUUGCCUNAGUAACGGCGAGUGAAGCGGCAACAGCUCAAAUUUAAAAUCUGGCCCCUCCGGGAUCCGAGUUGUAAUUUACAGAGGAUGCUUCGGCGUCGGCCCCGGGUCAAGUCCCUUGGAACAGGGCGUCCUGGAGGGUGAGAGCCCCGUACGCCCGGGCCGCCUUCGCCGUGUGAAGCUCCUUCGACGAGUCGAGUUGUUUGGGAAUGCAGCUCUAAGAGGGAGGUAAAUUUCUUCUAAAGCUAAAUACCGGCCAGAGACCGAUAGCGCACAAGUAGAGUGAUCGAAAGAUGAAAAGCACUUUGGAAAGAGAGUUAAAAAGCACGUGAAAUUGUUGAAAGGGAAGCUCUUGCCGCCAGACUUGCCGCGGUUGCUCAGCCGCCCUUCCGGGCGGCGCACUCUUCCGUCGGCAGGCCAGCGUCAGCUCGAGCGGCCGGAAAAAGGCCCUGGGAAUGUAGCCCUCCUCGGGGGGUGUUAUAGCCCGGGGUGCAAUGCGGUCAGCCCGGGUUGAGGCACGCGUUCGCUAGGACGCUGGCGUAAUGGCUGCAAGCGACCCGUCUUGAAACACGGACCAAGGAGUCUAACAUCUGUGCGAGUGUUUGGGUGACAAACCCGUGCGCGUAAUGAAAGUGAACGGAGGUGGGAACCCCCGAGGGUGCACCAUCGACCGAUCCUGAUGUCUUCGGAUGGAUUUGAGUAAGAGCAUAGCUGUUGGGACCCGAAAGAUGGUGAACUAUGCCUGAAUAGGGUGAAGCCAGAGGAAACUCUGGUGGAGGCUCGCAGCGGUUCUGACGUGCAAAUCGAUCGUCAAAUUUGGGUAUAGGGGCGAAAGACUAAUCGAACCAUUUGAAUCUCACGCUACUAGGUGGUUAAGAGACGCCGGGGGCACCCACGCACAUGGUUCUCGGGCGUCUAACCGGCGGGGACAUAGGCCUCCCGUUGAGGGUUGCGUAUGCGGCCCCGUCCGGCAACGUGGUCAAUUUGCGGGGAUAUCCUUAUCGCCCGCGGCUACCGCGGCCCCGGAGUCCGAGUUUUCCUCGGACGCCUGCAAAGGGCGCAGCACCGAGCCUCCGGGCUCGGGGAUGGUAAAAACGCCGAGGGAUUGGGCGAUCCGCAGCCAUACCCCYGAGGGGCACCCAAGGGUGCGCUUCACGGGGGUUUGGUCCACAGACUAUAGGGUCACGGGCGGCGCUUCCCGCCGCUCAAGAUAUAGUCGGGUACCUUCGAGAGAAGUUGGUCGACCCGGGGCUCCCUCCCCUGGCCCCCAGGGGUAAGUGGAGGGUUAAGCUCUCCGGGGUCAAGAAAAGGGAAUCCAGUCGCUAGUAGCUGGUUCCUGCCGAAGUUUCCCUCAGGAUAGCAGUAACGUUUUCAGUUUUAUGAGGUAAAGCGAAUGAUUAGAGGCCUUGGGGUUGAAACAACCUUAACCUAUUCUCAAACUUUAAAUAUGUAAGAAGCCCUUGUUGCUUAGUUGAACGUGGGCAUUCGAAUGUACCGUUACUAGUGGGCCAUUUUUGGUAAGCAGAACUGGCGAUGCGGGAUGAACCGAAAGCGGGGUUAAGGUGCCGGAGUGGACGCUCAUCAGACACCACAAAAGGUGUUAGUUCAUCCUGACAGCAGGACGGUGGCCAUGGAAGUCGGAACCCGCUAAGGAGUGUGUAACAACUCGUGAGUCGAAACCAAAUUUUUCGUUUUUAAUAGUGUGCUUGCUAACGUGUAAUCCCCAGACCUGCCGAAUGAACUAGCCCUGAAAAUGGAUGGCGCUCAAGCGUCCCACCCACACCCCGCCGCCGGGGCAGGAACGAUGCCCCGGCGAGUAGGCAGGCGCGGGGGUCCGUGACGAAG